Molecule: long non-coding RNA, 1766 nt
Filed under: Ananas comosus (pineapple)
Lineage: Eukaryota; Viridiplantae; Streptophyta; Magnoliopsida; Poales; Bromeliaceae
Description: long non-coding RNA (ACOM_LNC008400)
Source: RNAcentral
UACCUUUACUCUAGCCAAAAUAUUUUAUCUUAUUAGGUAUCGUUUGGUUCAAGAAUAAGCAAAAAGUGACUAUUCCAGAGAUAGGUAUAAAUUAAGGUAUAAGCGGGGAUUAAAUCAAUUUUGCGUUUGGAUGAAAAUUGGGUUAUUCUUGGGAAUAAAAAACUUAACGUUUGGUUAGGUAAGAGGGAAUAAGAAUGAUAAUGAGUUUUAUAAAUAAAAAGUAAUAAUAUUAUCCUUUUAUUAUAUUUGAAUUUGAAUUUUUAAAUUUUUAAAUUUGAAAUUUUAACUUUGAAAUUUUAAAAUUUAAAUUUAAAAUCUCAAAUUUUAAAUUUUAAAUUUUAAAUUUUAAAUUUUAAACUUUAAAUUUAAGAUAAAUUUAAAUUUGAAAAAUAUAAAAUAUAAAAUUUNAUAUAUUAUAUUUAUAUAAUUUAGUUUUAAUUCAAUUUAUAAUUUUAAUUAAGUUUGAAAUUAAGCAUUGGAAUAGCACUAUUCCACCAAAAUGGUGGAAUAGCAAAUCCCUUGCUAUUCCGGGAUAACCGAGAAUAGCAAGGUUUGACCGGGAUAAAAUAUCCCGGCCAAAUUUUACCCCGUUUGGCGGAAUAGCAGGAAUAACUUUCGUUAUCCCCACUUAUCCCCCGAACCAAACGGGGCCUUAGUGUGUAAUUGUGAGACGCAGCAUGUUUGGUUCAUGAUUGUAAUGAGAAUGAAAAUGUAAUUAGCUUAUUUUAGAAUGAAAUAGAAUGACGCAUCAUCAAAAAAAUAUUUGAUCGUUAUUGAAAUAAAAAUUAGAAUGGACAAUUAAGACAUCUAAAAUUUUAAAAGAAAAUUUUGGUGCAGGAUAAGGAAAACAAUAAAGGGAGACGAGAGGUGUCUGUGAGAUAGAAUUUUGAAUGAUUUAUUCUGAAAUGGUUCAAUCCAGAACUUAAAAUCGGGUUGAACCAUAAAUAAAUUAGAUCAUGUCAGAUCGUUAGCGCUAACCAUUAAUCUCAAAAGCUCGAGCUGUUAGAAAUACGUAACCAAUUCAUUUAAAGCGUACAGAUACAGCGCCCACGGGUAUCGAUUGUGACUCGGCCCAACCAGUCUCACGUCACUUCGAACAUGACUCGGCCCAACCCAGCCUCACGCCAUUUCGAACGUGACUCGGCCCACUUGGUCUCCUGCCACAGGGUAGGAUACUGGUCAUUUAAGCCAACAGAUCAUUCUCAUUCCAAAGUGGAAUGAGAAUUAGAAUUCGAUUCCUGUAAAAUGAACAACAACUAUUGAAAUCAAUAAAUCUCAUUUCAAUUUUAGAAUUUAAAAUAGCUGAAUCAAACAAGUUGAAUCGUUUUUGCAUAAAAAAAAAAAAAAAAAAAAAAAAAAAUGGAACUGAGAAAAAAUAAAAAAAGAAAAGGAAAGAAUAAAUUUUAGGUUUGCAUAUGAUUUGUGAGAUACCUUUACAGCAAAUAAAUGAUUUUACGGCCCAUCAAACCUUGAGCCGAUCUCAUAAGCCCAUAGGCCUCAUAUUUGUUUCAACUCUACUUAUGCCUGGCUCAAUUUUAAAUACUAUUUAACUUGACUAUAAUUAAUUGACCAUCUCUAGAGCAAGUGACAAAGGGCUUGGUGGUUGAUACUCGAGACUCAAGUUCGAAUCCUAGUUGAUUCAUAUUUCUAGCUAAGUUUAUUUUUAAAUGAAAUAAACGAAGCCCGUAGCGUGCUAUCUAUCUCUCUCUCAAAAAAAAAAAAAAAAGAUACAAUGCCCACUUUUACCUAUUACAAUGAUCUCCCCA